RNAcentral lists this ribosomal RNA (957 nucleotides) under Triticum aestivum (bread wheat). Its description in RNAcentral is "partial small subunit ribosomal RNA". Lineage: Eukaryota; Viridiplantae; Streptophyta; Magnoliopsida; Poales; Poaceae. The record is from RNAcentral.
GCUGCAGAGUUGGGCCAUCACAUACACAGACUAAAUGUUCUCAUGUAUGGUCGGCGCUGGAGAAACAUUGUGUCUGUCAUCCUGAGUUCUGCUUCCUCAAGAAUUUUGUUAAAUGGCACCCCUGGUCCGCCCUUCAGGCAUAUGUGUGGUCUUAGACAGGGCGACCCCUUGUCCCCGAUGUUGUUCAUUCUCGCCAUGGAGCCGCUUCGGAAACUGUUGGAUCUUGCAACGGAAGGCGGUGUUCUAACUAAGCUGGGACCUAAGGCAGCCAGAUUUCGCACAAGUAUGUACGCUGAUGAUGCGGCCCUGUUUUUAAACCCUAUCAAGGACGAGGUGCAUGCAGUCAGAGCAAUAUUGGAUAGGUUUGGGGAGGCCUCUGGUCUAAAAAUCAACAUCCAGAAAUGUGUUGCAUAUCCAGUUAGGUGCGAGGGGCUUGACUUCCAGGAUAUUAUCCAAGAUUUUGGUGGGACGGCAGGCUCUCUCCCGUGUCGUUACCUUGGACUGCCGCUCAGCUAUCGCAAGCUUAGAAGAAUUGAGGUCCUCCCUCUCAUAGAUGGCAUGGCCGGAAGGCUUAAAGGAUGGAAAGGCAAACUGAUGGCCAAACCUGGAAGGCUCACUCUAAUAAAUUAUGUGCUUACAUCCAUGGCCACAUAUUUCUUAACCAGUUUUGCAGUUGACAAAUGGGCAAUAAAGAAAAUGGAAAAGAUUCAGCGAAACUUCCUUUGGAAUGGUGACGAGGAGUGCAAAGGGGCCAAGUGCCUUGUCAACUGGAAGAGGGUCUGCUCCCCAAAGGAUCUUGGUGGCCUUGGAAUCAAAGACAUUGCCUGCUUCAGUAGGGCAUUGCGGCUGCGUUGGGCUUGGCUAGAGUGGAGCCCCAAUUCAAGGCCUUGGCAGGGCACCCCCAUCCCAUGCGAUCGCACGGACAUGCUGCUUUUCUCAGCUUGCACGGAGAUUUCG